GACAGAGGCCUCAAGCGUUAGGCGGAAUCACUGGGCUUAAAGCGUGUGUAGGCGGACGCCUAAGUGUCUUGUGAAAUCCCCCGGCUCACCCGGGGAACUGCUGGGCAUACUGGGCGUCUUGGGCCAACUAGGGGCAACUGGAACAAGCGGUGGAGCGGUGAAAUGCGUAGAUAUCGCUUGGAACGCCGAAGGUGAAAACAGGUUGCUGGGGUUGUGCCGACGCUGAGACACGAAAGCCAGAGGAGCAAACGGG
RNAcentral lists this ribosomal RNA (253 nucleotides) under uncultured bacterium. Its description in RNAcentral is "partial 16S ribosomal RNA". It matches the Rfam family "Bacterial small subunit ribosomal RNA", at positions 524 to 776 of the family's 1533-position model. The record is from RNAcentral.